RNAcentral lists this ribosomal RNA (499 nucleotides) under uncultured bacterium. RNAcentral's name for it is "partial 16S ribosomal RNA". It matches the Rfam family "Bacterial small subunit ribosomal RNA", at positions 29 to 507 of the family's 1533-position model. The record is from RNAcentral.
ACGAACGCUGGCGGCGUGCUUAACACAUGCACGUCGAACGGGUCUGCCCUGUUUUUUGCGGGGUGGGUCAGUGGCGAACGGGUGAGUAACACGUGAGUAACCUGCCCCUCACUUCUGGAUAACCGCUUGAAAGGGUGGCUAAUACGGGGUGUUCUGGCUGUGCCGCAUGGUGUGGCUGGGAAAGAUUCACUUUUGUGGUGUUUUGGUGGGGGAUGGGCUCGCGGCCUAUCAGCUUGUUGGUGGGGUGAUGGCCUGCCAAGGCUUUGACGGGUAGCCGGCCUGAGAGGGUGGGCGGUCACACUGGGACUGAGAUACGGCCCAGACUCCUGCGGGAGGCAGCAGUGGGGGGUAUUGCACAAUGGGCGGAAGCCUGAUGCAGCGACGUCGCGUGAGGGAUGGAGGCCUUCGGGUUGUGAACCUCUUUCGCCGGUGAAGAAGGUCCUGCUCUUUGUGGUGGGGUUGACGGUAGCCGGGUUAUGAAGCGCCGGCUAACUACGUG